Long non-coding RNA from Cyprinus carpio (common carp), 1423 nucleotides. The record is from Ensembl. Lineage: Eukaryota; Metazoa; Chordata; Actinopteri; Cypriniformes; Cyprinidae.
AUGUCACAGAUGAGUGUGCAUGUGAAUUUUUUUCAGAGAAUAAACCACCAUAUUUUAUGUUCAUUUGACAUUUUUUGUAGGCUUACCAGCAGGGCCGUGCACAGGGUGGCUAGAGCCACUGAUCCUUUGCCCUCAUCGGCUGAGGUGCCCAUCUCACCAAUCACCCCAGCUCAAAGCUGUCUGUUACCGCUCCCCGAUAGAUCCGCUGAUUCCGCUAAUCCGCUCUGUGUUUCCCGCCCGCUCCGUAGCAUGACUCACAAUCUGUGUGCCGUUCUCUGGAGAGUGGAGACCACAGUUCCCGAAACUCAUUGCAUUACCAGCAGAAACAGGCCUCCGAAGAACAGUGAGACAAACAAGAGAAACAUGAACAACUAUAAAGUUUUACAAUACAUCCAGGUAACAACACACAGUUCUCAGUUUAAAAAAGUAUAUUUAUUUAGCUCCUGUUUUUUUUUUCUAUGUAUUUUUCUUUCCUUUCUUGUUGCAUUUUCUUUGAAUCUAACUCUUCCCUGGGAUCUUGUUUUCAGCUCCCCUUGAGUGUGCAGGGGUCCUGAUGCCAUACAGGGUAAAAACAUUGUGUUAAGCUGUGGGAUCGUUUCACAGCCACGGUGCUUCUUAUUUACACUCUAUCCAGCACUGCUGUGAGUACAACCGAGCGCAGAAACAAAGCGGAGCUCGACUGGUGCUGGAGUUCAUCCGUCUGCGAGAACAAACAGAAAUUAAAGUAUCCCACGUCUCCAUAUCCUCUGCCCUGGUUUGUGUUGGGCAGCUGCCAACACAGCGAGGGAGAAUAAUAGAGUGAAGUAUUUCUUUAAUGUGUAGAGUGUUAACAUUUACUCUCUUUUAACCAUCUCUGGCACACAAGGGAUCCUAAAUGCUGGAAAUACAGAGGUUUUGUUCUUUCCUUCAGGGAAAAUGUAACUUUCUCGAUGAAAGGUUAUCAUCAAAGUUUAAUAUGUUGUGGGUUUUAAAUAUCUUACACAGUUGUGUUUCAUUGGUCCGAAAUCCUACUGCGUUUAACUAUUUGAUAGGUUCUGAUUGGCUUUGAAUGUGCCUAUCAUGUAACACUUUUGUUUUGAUUAUUGGUGUGCAAGUGAUGUAAUGCUACAUUUCUCCAAAUCUGUUCUGAUGAAGAAACAAACUCAUCUAAUGUACAUCUUGGAUGGCCUGAGGGUAGAGAAAUUUUGGUUGCACUUUAUUUUACAGUAUGUGUACUUACAUUUACUUAUAGUGUACUUACAGUGUAUUUAUCUAAGAAAGUUCUGGUAAUAUAAGGUAACUACAUGGGGUAGGGUUAGGUUUAGGGGUAGGUUCAGGGUUAGUACCUAGUUAUUACAUAGUAAUUGUAAUUACUAUAAUAAGUACAUAGUAUGUACAUGAGUAACAGGACUGUAAAAUAAAGUGCUACCGAAAUUUUUUAUCA